This is a long non-coding RNA of Raphanus sativus (radish), 4082 nucleotides long. RefSeq lists it as uncharacterized. The record is from RefSeq and is a predicted model, not a curated record. NCBI's taxonomy places the organism in Eukaryota, Viridiplantae, Streptophyta, Magnoliopsida, Brassicales, Brassicaceae. The transcript has 2 exons.
GGAACUUUAAAUAUUUUUUUUUAAUUUCAAAAAGAACUUCAAAUAUUAAUUACGUUCAAAAAAACUUCAAAUACUUAUUUAGUAGUUGUAAUGUUAAUCAUUUUAUCAAUGCUGAAAAAUACAUAAACACAAAUAAAAAUAUCUGAGACUCUUUAAAAAUAGUAUAUAAGAAAAAAACCAAACAACAUUCAGUUUUAUAUUGUAAUCUAAUAAUAUUAAUGUAUAUAUAUAUUAUAUAUAAAGUUAUUUUAAAACCCGCACGGGUGUGCGGGCCAAAAAUCUAGUUAUAUAUUAUAUGAGCACUUUUGUAGUCUCGCUUCAUUUGUUUCGGAAGACGGGAGUUCGUAUGCAAAACUAAUGACGACCGAGUAUUGGUUGGGGGUCGGCUUCUAGAAGGACGGUGGCUAAUAGAAAUAAAGUAAAUAACAACGUGCUUUCUUUAACAAAACUUAUAAUAAUAUAUAGUGUCUACUUUUUCAGGAAAAAAAAACACAUAAAACAAAAGCAAAUGUCAAAUUUGAAAAAUCGAGCGUAUAUUAUAUUUUGAUUUUUCUCCCAGGUUUCAAUUCUUCUAGAAAGACCAUCAGAAUCAUCAGACACAAGUCCAACUGUCAAAGAUAUUAGACUUUUGUUGUCUCACGCAAAUACAAUUUACUCACUCAAUCAGUGGCGGAGCUACACUAUUGGCACCUGGAUCAAUUGACCCAUGUGAACUUUUUAUAAAAAUAUUUUUUACAUGUAUAAUUCUUUAAAAAUUAGAUAAAUCUUGUAAACUUUAGCUAAAUGACCCCUAUAACAUAUGCUAAUUUUGAAUUUGACCCCUCUAAAAUUAUUUUCUACCUCCGCCACUGCACUCAAUAUAGAAUCAUGAAUCAAAAUGAUUUCGUCUAGUUUUCAAAACAAAAAGACAUAAAUAUGUAAUAUACUGUCUAGUCGUCUACAUUUGUUUUUUUACCAAAAUCAAAUGUAUACGACAUAUAUACUCUUAUCGGAUCUUAGAUCCAGAUUACAAUCGCCUAUGUAUAUUUUGGUGUUUUCCAUAUUUAGAUUAUACAAUGUUUAAUGUAGAAGGAAUCAUAGAAGAACAAAUUUGUAAAUCAACUGCGACAAAAGACAAUAAGAUAUACCAUAAAUUAGCACAUAAAUACCUUUUUAUUUUAAAAUUAGAAUAUAAUAUCAAUCAAAAGUUAAAAAUAUAUUUAUAUUUGAAUUAGGAUUUAAUGUUUAGAAGUUAGGGUUUAGUUAAUUGAGAGUGAAGUUACGAUAAAAGUUUAACGUUGAAAAUAAUCUAGAGAAAUUGCAGUGCAUUAUACAAGGAUAACAUGCAUAUUUGUGGGGUUGAAAGUCAGUCUUUUCGAAUGACGUGUUUUUUAAUGUCCAUAGCAACCCUAUCAUCUAAUACUUCAACCCCCUAUUCGAAAAUGUGGCGCCGAGGACCGCAUAGUCGCCGGAAAAUCGUAACACAGCCAUGAACCGUGGCGAAUUAGAGUUAUUCGCUCAAAAAAUCAGAAAUGCCAUAAAAACUCUAUUCUAACUCAAUUCAACCUAUAAUCGAACAAAAUAGGUAAGAUUUAUGAAGUUUUCACGAAACCAGCAUCAAAAACGAAGAAAAUGGUGUAAAACCUAAGGAGCCAUCGAUUUGAAUCGCAGAAAACCUAAAAACCUAAGGAAGAAGACGACCAGUAAAUGAUGUAAAUACCCUUCGUUAAACAUAAAAUUAAAAAAUAGGCGAAAAUACAUCCAGGACAGCUCGAACCUAGGACGCUGAGACUUUCACAGACGAUUAAACCAUUACGCCAACUGCUUUUUACUGUAUUCACUAUUAAGCUAGAUAUAUAUGUAAAUUAUAACAGAAACAACAUAAAAUUCCCUAAAAUAAAUCCCCGCGUAAUCCCCGUAUAAUCUCCGAUUUUUUUCAUUCGGCACUAGGCGUAACCGGAGCGUACGAGGAACGCCUAACGAGUUUCCGAACAGGACUUCAACCUAAUAUCUUAUAUGUUUACAAACUCUAUAACUCAUUAUUACGCGUGAAGAGAGAGACUACGCUCAUCAGUACAAUCGAUAUACUUUUCGUUCAAAAAUAUCUAUCUCAUCUCUCUCUAUAUUUUUGGUUUAGCGACCUCCUUCUCUCACAAUUUCUUUUGUUUCUCCGUAGUUAUGAUCCUCUUUCUCUCACAAUCUCUUUGAUUUCUUUGCCAAAACCAUUGUUCACAAAGAUUAAUCUUCCAUCUCUCUCAAUCUCUUUGGUUUCUCCCACAGAACCCUUCUCUCUACAUAGACGAAAUUGCACCGGACUAUCUGUUUCAGUCUCACUAGAUUCAAGAGUCGUGGUGGUGGCACGGAUCCGAUCAUUUGUAUAUAUGAAGCUAUCACGCAUGGUACCACCUUUCAGAAAGUUUCUGCGCUCGUCGAACUGACUUUGAUUAUUCAGCCGGACACAUACUUUGAGCUUGACGAAGGAGAUUUAUGUCUUUCUGAUGGGGAAGAUGACAAAAUAGUAGAUAAAAUGGCCAGCCUUAUCAGAGACGGUACCAGUUUUACAAAAAAAAUAUUCACAGGCGGAGCUACAAAGGCCGAUGCAGAGUGGAUGAGAGAGGAGGCCGAUGAUGCAGCCUUAGCAAGGAAGAAAACAAAGAGGAAAAGCACUGGCAAAACACCCACUUACGUUGGUGCUGAUGCAGAUCAUGCUUUCAAUUUUCUUUAAUAAUAUAAUUUGGGGAAUAGUCGGUUAGAGAUUUUACUUGACUUUUUGUAAUAGUUAGCUGGUAAUAUAUACUAAUUAUCCCGACAUUGUUAUAGUUAGCCGGUAAUAUCCACUAAUUAAUUAUGUAAUUUGUGAAACAGCCAGUUAAGAUUUUACUUGAUUUUUGUUAUAGUUUGGAAAUGUCUUUCAUUUUUCUUUAAUGAUGUAAUUUGCAAAAUAGUAGGUUAAGAUUUUACUUGAUUUUUUUUGUUAUAGUUAGCCGGUAAUAUAUACAAAUUAUCCUGACAUUGUUAUAGUUAGCCGGUAAUAUAUACUAAUCAAUGAUGUAAUUUGUGAAAUAGCCGGUUAAGAUUAUACUUGGUUUUUAUUAUAGUUUAUAAAUGUCUCUCAUUUUUCUUUAGUGAUGUAAUUUUAAAAUAGCCGAUUAAAAUUUUACUUGACUUUUUUUUAUAGUUAGCCGGCAAUAUAUACAAAUUAUCUCGAUAUAUAGUUAUUCAAUAAUAUAUACUAAUUAAUUAAUGAUGUAAUUUGUGAAAUAGCCGGUUAAGAUUUUACUUGACGUUAUACAAAUUAAAAACUUUAGGCCAAAUUGAAAACGACUGAGACUCUGAGGUCCAUUCAAAUAAUUCUUAAAAAGUUUGAAAUGUAGAAUGUGAAAGUUUGGCGUCGAUUGUAAAUCUAUUUUACACUUAGAAAUAUUGGAGCCAAUUUGAGAAUACCCAAAGGUUGGAGGGUUGGAGGGCGUAUGUUACAAAACAUAAGAAAUCACUAUUGUUGCUCGAUCUCUUCCGUGACGAGACAUAGACGGCAAGGAUGAGCACGACAAUGAGGCUUGAAUCCGAGCAUGACGAUGUCGACAGGGUUAUGAUGGAAAUGGUUCGGUGAGCGACAGAGAAGAAUAAGCUUGAGAAUAAAAUAUUUUUGGUGGCUUCGUCAAGAUGAAAAAGGAAUACGAAGCAAGAUAGAGAUGAAGGAGUGAAACUUGAAGCGAUCAUGUAUAGUAAAUGAUUCUUUCGAGUGAUGGAGGAGUACACCGUGUGAAUCUUGUAACGGUGUCAAACUCGACGUAAACAUAGGUGAAAGAUGAAGCACAGCCGUGAAAGGGAUAAGCUUGAUGACGAUGAUUUACAUUCGGAAUUAGGAUUACGACGGAGUAAACAAAGUAAUUGGAAACAAUGAGAGAUGAUAUGGUAGAAGAGAGUCGAAGAGUGUAUUGAUUAAUGUAUUCAUUAUAUAACAUGUAUAUCUAUAUAUUUACCCGUGUGAAAUUAGUGAUUUUUUUUUGUUUUUUCACGCGAUAUGACUGGUCAGAAGUUUUGGCUACUCAUAGAAUCACGAGUUACACAAAUACAUGUAAAUGUGUGUAUAGAUUUAUAAU